AGGGAAACCGAGUCUUAAUUGGGCGUUAAGUUGCAGGGUAUAGACCCGAAACCCGGUGAUCUAGCCAUGGGCAGGUUGAAGGUUGGGUAACACUAACUGGAGGACCGAACCGACUAAUGUUGAAAAAUUAGCGGAUGACCUGUGGCUGGGGGUGAAAGGCCAAUCAAACCGGGAGAUAGCUGGUUCUCCCCGAAAGCUAUUUAGGUAGCGCCUCGUGAAUUCAUCUCCGGGGGUAGAGCACUGUUUCGGCUAGGGGGCCAUCCCGGCUUACCAACCCGAUGCAAACUGCGAAUACCGGAGAAUGUUAUCACGGGAGACACACGGCGGGUGCUAACGUCCGUCGUGAAGAGGGAAACAACCCAGACCGCCAGCUAAGGUCCCAAAGUCAUGGUUAAGUGGGAAACGAUGUGGGAAGGCCCAGACAGCCAGGAUGUUGGCUUAGAAGCAGCCAUCAUUUAAAGAAAGCGUAAUAGCUCACUGGUCGAGUCGGCCUGCGCGGAAGAUGUAACGGGGCUAAACCAUGCACCGAAGCUGCGGCAGCGACGCUGAUGCGUUGUUGGGUAGGGGAGCGUUCUGUAAGCCUGUGAAGGUGGCCUGUGAGGGUUGCUGGAGGUAUCAGAAGUGCGAAUGCUGACAUAAGUAACGAUAAAGCGGGUGAAAAGCCCGCUCGCCGGAAGACCAAGGGUUCCUGUCCAACGUUAAUCGGGGCAGGGUGAGUCGACCCCUAAGGCGAGGCCGAAAGGCGUAGUCGAUGGGAAACAGGUUAAUAUUCCUGUACUUGGUGUUACUGCGAAGGGGGGACGGAGAAGGCUAUGUUGGCCGGGCGACGGUUGUCCCGGUUUAAGCGUGUAGGUGUGUGUUCCAGGUAAAUCCGGUUCACUUUAACACUGAGGCGUGAUGACGAGGCACUACGGUGCUGAAGCAACAAAUGCCCUGCUUCCAGGAAAAGCCUCUAAGCAUCAGGUAACAUCAAAUCGUACCCCAAACCGACACAGGUGGUCAGGUAGAGAAUACCAAGGCGCUUGAGAGAACUCGGGUGAAGGAACUAGGCAAAAUGGUGCCGUAACUUCGGGAGAAGGCACGCUGACACGUAGGUGAAGUGAUUUACUCACGGAGCUGAAGUCAGUCGAAGAUACCAGCUGGCUGCAACUGUUUAUUAAAAACACAGCACUGUGCAAACACGAAAGUGGACGUAUACGGUGUGACGCCUGCCCGGUGCCGGAAGGUUAAUUGAUGGGGUCAGCGCAAGCGAAGCUCCUGAUCGAAGCCCCGGUAAACGGCGGCCGUAACUAUAACGGUCCUAAGGUAGCGAAAUUCCUUGUCGGGUAAGUUCCGACCUGCACGAAUGGCGUAAUGAUGGCCAGGCUGUCUCCACCCGAGACUCAGUGAAAUUGAACUCGCUGUGAAGAUGCAGUGUACCCGCGGCAAGACGGAAAGACCCCGUGAACCUUUACUAUAGCUUGACACUGAACAUUGAGCCUUGAUGUGUAGGAUAGGUGGGAGGCUUUGAAGUGUGGACGCCAGUCUGCAUGGAGCCGACCUUGAAAUACCACCCUUUAAUGUUUGAUGUUCUAACGUGGACCCGUAAUCCGGGUUGCGGACAGUGUCUGGUGGGUAGUUUGACUGGGGCGGUCUCCUCCUAAAGAGUAACGGAGGAGCACGAAGGUUGGCUAAUCCUGGUCGGACAUCAGGAGGUUAGUGCAAUGGCAUAAGCCAGCUUGACUGCGAGCGUGACGGCGCGAGCAGGUGCGAAAGCAGGUCAUAGUGAUCCGGUGGUUCUGAAUGGAAGGGCCAUCGCUCAACGGAUAAAAGGUACUCCGGGGAUAACAGGCUGAUACCGCCCAAGAGUUCAUAUCGACGGCGGUGUUUGGCACCUCGAUGUCGGCUCAUCACAUCCUGGGGCUGAAGUAGGUCCCAAGGGUAUGGCUGUUCGCCAUUUAAAGUGGUACGCGAGCUGGGUUUAGAACGUCGUGAGACAGUUCGGUCCCUAUCUGCCGUGGGCGCUGGAGAACUGAGGGGGGCUGCUCCUAGUACGAGAGGACCGGAGUGGACGCAUCACUGGUGUUCGGGUUGUCAUGCCAAUGGCACUGCCCGGUAGCUAAAUGCGGAAGAGAUAAGUGCUGAAAGCAUCUAAGCACGAAACUUGCCCCGAGAUGAGUUCU
This 2162-nucleotide ribosomal RNA is filed under the name Salmonella enterica subsp. enterica serovar Hvittingfoss. RNAcentral's name for it is "bacterial LSU rRNA". It matches the Rfam family "Bacterial large subunit ribosomal RNA", at positions 670 to 2812 of the family's 2925-position model. The record is from RNAcentral. Lineage: Bacteria; Pseudomonadati; Pseudomonadota; Gammaproteobacteria; Enterobacterales; Enterobacteriaceae.